RNAcentral lists this transfer RNA (71 nucleotides) under Marmota monax (woodchuck). RNAcentral's name for it is "tRNA.Ala". It matches the Rfam family "tRNA". Rfam says of the family: Transfer RNA (tRNA) molecules are approximately 80 nucleotides in length. Lineage: Eukaryota; Metazoa; Chordata; Mammalia; Rodentia; Sciuridae. The record is from RNAcentral.
GGGGUUGUGGCUCAGCGGUAGAGCACUCGCCUAGCAUGUGGGAGAUCCUGGGUUCGAUCCUCAGCACCACA